CCUAACACAUGCAAGUCGAGCGGAAACGAUCCUAGCUUGCUAGGAGGCGUCGAGCGGCGGACGGGUGAGUAAUGCAUAGGAAUCUGCCCGGUAGUGGGGGAUAACUUGAGGAAACUCAAGCUAAUACCGCAUACGCCCCAAGGGGGAAAGCAGGGGAUCUUCGGACCUUGCGCUAUCGGAUGAGCCUAUGUCGGAUUAGCUAGUUGGUGAGGUAAUGGCUCACCAAGGCCGCGAUCCGUAGCUGGUCUGAGAGGAUGAUCAGCCACAUCGGGACUGAGACACGGCCCGAACUCCUACGGGAGGCAGCAGUGGGGAAUAUUGGACAAUGGGCGAAAGCCUGAUCCAGCCAUGCCGCGUGUGUGAAGAAGGCCUUCGGGUUGUAAAGCACUUUCAGCGAGGAAGAACGCUUGUGGGUUAAUACCCCGCAAGAAGGACAUCACUCGCAGAAGAAGCACCGGCUAACUCCGUGCCAGCAGCCGCGGUAAUACGGAGGGUGCAAGCGUUAAUCGGAAUUACUGGGCGUAAAGCGCGCGUAGGCGGCUUGAUAAGCCGGUUGUGAAAGCCCCGGGCUCAACCUGGGAACGGCAUCCGGAACUGUCAGGCUAGAGUGCAGGAGAGGAAGGUAGAAUUCCCGGUGUAGCGGUGAAAUGCGUAGAGAUCGGGAGGAAUACCAGUGGCGAAGGCGGCCUUCUGGACUGACACUGACGCUGAGGUGCGAAAGCGUGGGUAGCAAACAGGAUUAGAUACCCUGGUAGUCCACGCCGUAAACGAUGUCGACUAGCCGUUGGGGUCCUCGAGACCUUUGUGGCGCAGUUAACGCGAUAAGUCGACCGCCUGGGGAGUACGGCCGCAAGGUUAAAACUCAAAUGAAUUGACGGGGGCCCGCACAAGCGGUGGAGCAUGUGGUUUAAUUCGAUGCAACGCGAAGAACCUUACCUACUCUUGACAUCGAGCGAACUAUCCAGAGAUGGAUUGGUGCCUUCGGGAACGCUCAGACAGGUGCUGCAUG
Molecule: ribosomal RNA, 1009 nt
Filed under: Halomonas smyrnensis
Lineage: Bacteria; Pseudomonadati; Pseudomonadota; Gammaproteobacteria; Oceanospirillales; Halomonadaceae
Description: bacterial SSU rRNA
Rfam family: Bacterial small subunit ribosomal RNA
Source: RNAcentral